This 250-nucleotide ribosomal RNA is filed under the name uncultured bacterium. RNAcentral's name for it is "partial 16S ribosomal RNA". It matches the Rfam family "Bacterial small subunit ribosomal RNA", at positions 524 to 773 of the family's 1533-position model. The record is from RNAcentral.
UACGUAGGGUGCAAGCGUUACUCGGAAUCACUGGGCGUAAAGGGUGCGUAGGCGGCUCAUUAAGUUGGAUGUGAAAGCCCUCGGCUCAACCGAGGAACUGCGUCCAAAACUGGCGAGCUCGAGGAUGGUAGGGGAUAGUGGAACUCCAGGUGGAGCGGUGAAAUGCGUAGAGAUCUGGAGGAACGCCGGUGGCGAAAGCGACUAUCUGGGCCAUUCCUGACGCUGAGGCACGAAAGCCAGGGGAGCAAAC